GAUGAUUGAGAAGUACCAUCCAGGUUUGGGCGAUGCAAGAUGGCCAUUUGUAACUCAUUUUGUGGGAUGCAAGCCAUGUGGGAGCUAUGGAGAUUAUCCUGCGGAGAGGUGCUUGAAAAAUAUGGAGAGGGCUUUCAAUUUUGCAGAUAAUCAAGUGCUUAACUUGUAUGGGUUUAGACAUAAGGGAUUGUUAAGCCCAAACAUCAAAAGGAUUAGGAAUGAAACAGAUAAUCCAUUGCAGUAUGUAGAUCAGUUAGAUGUUCGACAUGCAAAGCAUGAGAGCACAGAAACUCACAGCUAGUGGCCACACCAGCUUUUGCAUAGAAGAAUCUGCAGGGUGCGACUGAGGUUUUGACCUGUCGUGGAUGAGAAUGGCUCUCUUGGAAAGAAGCGGCCAUGUUUCUUCUGGUUGUUAUACUUUGGUGGUCAAGCCUUGCAUCUUUUUUUUUCCUCCCACGGUUUUAAGUUUGUGUUAGGUUUACUUAUUUCUAGCAAUAUUUUAGUUUCUCAGCGAGAUGCCUUUUGAACUGUAUGAAUGAUAUGCUUGAAAAAGAACAGCUGGAACCAAAUAGAAUGAGUGUAGAAUUUGUCUAGAUAGCUUCAACAUGAGUUACUCACUCUCAACCUACACCUUUGGUAGGUAUAAGAUGUGAUCACACUUGUAUAAUUGCAAUUCUUGGACGGUUUUUUCUGUUGGUUAAUGAUUUUUUGGUAUAUGAUAGUGGACCAUAAAGUUAUAUGAACUUGAA
RNAcentral lists this unclassified non-coding RNA (749 nucleotides) under Hevea brasiliensis (rubber tree). The record is from RNAcentral. Lineage: Eukaryota; Viridiplantae; Streptophyta; Magnoliopsida; Malpighiales; Euphorbiaceae.